RNAcentral lists this ribosomal RNA (224 nucleotides) under uncultured bacterium. RNAcentral describes it as "partial 16S ribosomal RNA". It matches the Rfam family "Bacterial small subunit ribosomal RNA", at positions 29 to 248 of the family's 1533-position model. The record is from RNAcentral.
AACGAACGCUGGCGGCGUGGAUAAGACAUGCAAGUCGAACGGGAGUUUGUUUAUAGCAAUAUGGACGAACUCUAGUGGCGAAAGGGUGCGUAACACGUAGCUACCUACCUCGAAGUUGGGGAUAGCUCGGCGAAAGCCGGAUUAAUACCGAAUGUGAUCGUGAGAUCAAAGCUGGGGAUCGUAAGACCUGGCGCUUUGAGAUGGGGCUGCGGCCUAUCAGCUAG